RNAcentral lists this long non-coding RNA (980 nucleotides) under Lynx pardinus (Iberian lynx). Lineage: Eukaryota; Metazoa; Chordata; Mammalia; Carnivora; Felidae. The record is from RNAcentral.
CUACAUGAGGGUUUGACAUAAGGUCCUUGUUAAGGGUUGUUGCGUCUGCUGGAACUCACAAACUUUACUGUAGAGAAUUAGAGAUCUCAUAUGAGAAGGCUGUAGAAAUACUCAUUGUGGUAAAUUCCAACAGAAUGAAUCUCCAGACAUUCUUCAAGUAACUGACAUGUCAGCCUAAAAAGACACUGUCCGAGUUGGAGGCCCCCAAAUUCCCUUUUGUUCCAAACCUUUGUGUGAUGGCAGUGGUUUCUCUGAUAUGGUAAACUUUGGUUUCCCUCCAUUUUCUUUCUAAGUGAUCUCUGGAGCCCAGAGGAGUUAGAGACAUGAACUACGACCCCUUGUAUGACUUCCAUAGAUAACAAACCAGGUGCCAGCAUGUUUGACAGUUCCUUUCAUAAACUGAAGUUAAUGAAAGUCGUGAAAAUAAUGGUUACUUUCUGGUGUUGGUAGGAGUUAGGAGAUCUUUGGCUCAACAGAAUAAGCAUGGUUCUUCAUGUUUUUGCUCUAGACAGAAAGCAGCAGGUAUAUCGUAUUUGGACACAAACCUGACUCCCGUUAGAGUGUUGAAGGAUUGCAGGACUCAUAGAGGUACGGGGCAAGUCUAUCUGCUUAUUCAUCCAAUGUUCAAAAAUAAGCUGGUUGAACUCUGUAACUUACAGUUUUGUGAAUUUCCUACAAAACAGCAAGGGCUGUAAAAGGGUUUGGCUAGAAUAUGUGAACUUUUUGUUUCAGUGCCAGUUACUUGGGACGAUUAAAGGAAUGACUCUUGGCCAGAAGACUUGAGUCCCCAAGCUGCCAUGCUCAGCUUGUGUGUUCCCAAGUGGGGCCAAGUGUGGAUUGCUUCCAAAAGGGUAGAAGAGGUGGCCCUUUGGCUUCUUGUUCCAGGGUUCCCGUCCUGUCCACCUGUCCAUGAGAAAAUAUGGAUGAUUUCAGUGGACCCUGGAUGAGCUUGUCGCCUCUGAUUCUCUUCACCAGCUGGA